This 999-nucleotide long non-coding RNA is filed under the name Monodelphis domestica (gray short-tailed opossum). RNAcentral's name for it is "lncRNA (ENSMODG00000044332.1)". Lineage: Eukaryota; Metazoa; Chordata; Mammalia; Didelphimorphia; Didelphidae. The record is from RNAcentral.
AGCCACCUUGAUGGGAACUCUUCCAGUAAUGCAUUUCUUAUACAGUGACCUUAUCACUUCUUGUAACUGAGUCUGAUUUUAGAGAAGUCUCAUUAGCAUUAACAGUUCUGUUAUAGUCAUACAUAUCCCUUCAUUCUUAUUUACCAAACUUCAUUUGCACAUCUUCCCACAUGGAAUAAUAGUAACAACAAUAAUAACAUGUAUAGACUGUGUCUGUAUGAAAGUAAACCAAUACUGGGGCCAAAAGUAAAACAAUGCAAAAGGCAAUGGGUGGUAGCAUCAUAAUGCCCACAUUUGUUCCACCAUCUUUUUCACCUUUGUGUCCUUAGGGUAGUUCCCAAACACUUGUUUGUGCUGUCCUCAGGGGAGUUUUCCAGACAGAGCCACCUGGUUUUCUGCCAAUGAGUCACAGAAGGUUCAGAGAUGAGAACUUCCUGAUUGGUUAUCAGUGAGUCAGGUUUACACCCUGCUUUAUCUUUAGCACUUAUCACACUUAUCAUUUUUCGCCAGCUGCAAAGAGAUAGACAAUGGGAGAAAUUCUCAGGGAUCAUGGAACCAUCAAAGGUGGAUCUGAGAACUUGGAUAAGAAAAAAAUUACAUCUUUAUUUUCACUAACCUCUAGCUGAAAAUUAGUAUUUCUUUUAAUUAUUACUGUUAUUUUUUUUAAAAACCCAUUUUCUGUUUUAGGAUCAAGUUAUUUAAUUCCAAUUACCUAACCCUUACCAUUCUUUUGCCUUGAAACCAAUAAUUAGUUUUAAUAUUAAAACACAGCUAAAAAUCUGAGGUCAAAUCUACACCCAGAACCUCCUGUCUCCAGGUCUGGCCCUCUAUCUUUUGAGUCACCUAGUUGCCCCAUUUCCUUUCAUUAUUAACGAAGGCAACAAAAUACAGCAAUAUGAGCAAUAUUUGUGAUCAUCACCAAUAGAAAUCAUAGAUAUUUUUCUAUCAUAUUACAGUUGUUGCACAUAUGUCAAAAUACUUAUGUUCAUCACUUUAUAU